Molecule: ribosomal RNA, 462 nt
Filed under: uncultured Latescibacterota bacterium
Lineage: Bacteria; Pseudomonadati; Candidatus Latescibacterota
Description: bacterial SSU rRNA
Rfam family: Bacterial small subunit ribosomal RNA
Source: RNAcentral
CCGCACAAGCGGUGGAUGAUGUGGAUUAAUUCGAUGCAACGCGAAAAACCUUACCUACCCUUGACGUGUCUGGAACCUUGGUGAGAGCCGAGGGUGCCUUCGGGAGCCAGAACACAGGUGCUGCAUGGCUGUCGUCAGCUCGUGUCGUGAGAUGUUGGGUUAAGUCCCGCAACGAGCGCAACCCUUAUCCCUAGUUGCCAUCAGGUAAAGCUGGGAACUCUGGGGAGACUGCCGGUGAUAAACCGGAGGAAGGCGGGGAUGACGUCAAGUCCUCAUGGCCCUUACAUCCCGGGCUACACACGUGCUACAAUGGCAGGUACAGAGGGCUGCGAAGCCGCGAGGUGGAGCGAAUCCCAGAAAACCUGUCUCAGUCCGGAUUGAAGUCUGCAACUCGACUUCAUGAAGGCGGAAUCGCUAGUAACCGCGAAUCAGCAGGUCGCGGUGAAUACGUUCCCGGGCCUU